Molecule: ribosomal RNA, 651 nt
Filed under: Klebsiella pneumoniae subsp. pneumoniae
Lineage: Bacteria; Pseudomonadati; Pseudomonadota; Gammaproteobacteria; Enterobacterales; Enterobacteriaceae
Description: bacterial SSU rRNA
Rfam family: Bacterial small subunit ribosomal RNA
Source: RNAcentral
AGUCGAGCGGUAGCACAGAGAGCUUGCUCUCGGGUGACGAGCGGCGGACGGGUGAGUAAUGUCUGGGAAACUGCCUGAUGGAGGGGGAUAACUACUGGAAACGGUAGCUAAUACCGCAUAACGUCGCAAGACCAAAGAGGGGGACCUUCGGGCCUCAUGCCAUCGGAUGUGCCCAGAUGGGAUUAGCUAGUAGGUGGGGUAACGGCUCACCUAGGUGACGAUCCCUAGCUGGUCUGAGAGGAUGACCAGCCACACUGGAACUGAGACACGGUCCAGACUCCUACGGGAGGCAGCAGUGGGGAAUAUUGCACAAUGGGCGCAAGCCUGAUGCAGCCAUGCCGCGUGUAUGAAGAAGGCCUUCGGGUUGUAAAGUACUUUCAGCGAGGAGGAAGGCGAUGAGGUUAAUAACCUCAUCGAUUGACGUUACUCGCAGAAGAAGCACCGGCUAUCUCCGUGCCAGCAGCCGCGGUAAUACGGAGGGUGCAAGCGUUAAUCGGAAUUACUGGGCGUAAAGCGCACGCAGGCGGUCUGUCAAGUCGGAUGUGAAAUCCCCGGGCUCAACCUGGGAACUGCAUCCGAAACUGGCAGGCUAGAGUCUUGUAGAGGGGGGUAGAAUUCCAGGUGUAGCGGCGAAAUGCGUAGAGAUCUGGA